Molecule: ribosomal RNA, 207 nt
Filed under: uncultured bacterium
Lineage: Bacteria
Description: partial 16S ribosomal RNA
Rfam family: Bacterial small subunit ribosomal RNA
Source: RNAcentral
CUCGUAGGCGGUUCGUCGCGUCCGGUGUGAAAGUCCAUCGCUUAACGGUGGAUCUGCGCCGGGUACGGGCGGGCUGGGGUGCGGUAGGGGAGACUGGAAUUCCCGGUGUAACGGUGGAAUGUGUAGAUAUCGGGAAGAACACCAAUGGCGAAGGCAGGUCUCUGGGCCGUUACUGACGCUGAGGAGCGAAAGCGUGGGGAGCGAACA